RNAcentral lists this transfer RNA (24 nucleotides) under Columbina inca (inca dove). Its description in RNAcentral is "partial tRNA-Met". RNAcentral also lists the same sequence under 1 other name. Lineage: Eukaryota; Metazoa; Chordata; Aves; Columbiformes; Columbidae. The record is from RNAcentral.
AUGGUUUAACCCCCUCCCCUACUA